CCCUUAGAUGUCCGGGGCCGCACGCGCGCUACACUGAUGCAUUCAACGAGCCUAUCCUCGACCGACAGGUCCGGGUAAUCUUUGAAUCUGCAUCGUGACGGGGAUAGAUUAUUGCAAUUAUUAAUCUUCAACGAGGAAUGCCUAGUAGGCGCAAGUCAUCAGCUUGCGUCGAUUACGUCCCUGCCCUUUGUACACACCGCCCGUCGCUCCUACCGAUUGGGUGUGCUGGUGAAAUGUUCGGAUCGGCCGUUUGUCGCGGUUUCCGCGUCAUGUGGCUGAGAAGUUCACUAAACCCUCCCACCUAGAGGAAGGAGAAGUCGUAACA
RNAcentral lists this ribosomal RNA (325 nucleotides) under uncultured eukaryote. RNAcentral's name for it is "partial 18S ribosomal RNA". It matches the Rfam family "Eukaryotic small subunit ribosomal RNA", at positions 1470 to 1796 of the family's 1831-position model. The record is from RNAcentral.